RNAcentral lists this long non-coding RNA (711 nucleotides) under Mytilus galloprovincialis (Mediterranean mussel). The record is from RNAcentral. Lineage: Eukaryota; Metazoa; Mollusca; Bivalvia; Mytilida; Mytilidae.
UAUCUAUGACUUUAUUCAGAUGUCGUUGUCUUUAGAAUUAGAUGCGACUGUCAUACAAGUGAGAGGUUUAGAUAGAUUUGAAACCAGGUUUAAUCCACAAUUUUCUACAUAAGAAAGUGCCUGACCAAAUAGAGAAUAUGACAGUUGUUAUACAUUCGUUUGAUGUGUUUGAGCUUUUGAUUUUGCCAUUUGAUAAGGGACUUUCCUUUUUGAAUUUUCAUCGGAGUUCAGUAUUUUUGUGAUUUUACUUUUCACACAAUCGUGUGGUGCGAGUAUCGUUUAUAUAUAUUCGAGGCUAGCAAAUAGUUACUGGAAGAUGUUCGUUUUCAUUGCCUAUGCAUACUUACAGUGAGAAUCUGAGAUUGUUCAAUGUUGUUGCUCUGGGAGUCUUUUUUUUUUUGUUCCAAUGUUUCUCAAUAUUUCUAUUGUUUUAAAUCAUUUUGCAGCGAGAUAUUUCAAACGCCUUAUCGUUAUUUUGUCAUGUUAAUCAUUCAUUAACGUUUUCAUAUUUUCUCUGUUCUUACCAUUUAAGAUAACUUCUUUCUUUCCCACUGACAUUGUUUAUCUUUCGGAUAACAAUCAAAGUUUUACCUAUUAAACAUCCGCGUACAAUGAGGGCAACACAGACAACAAUAUAUUAAUUAAUUUGCAUUAAAAUAAUUGAGCUUUAUUUGUCAGUCUCCACUUAUCCAUAGUCUUAGGAUGAAAAUU